GACGAACGCUGGCGGCGUGCCUAACACAUGCAAGUCGAACGAAGCUUGACGAAUGAUUUCUUCGGAAUGAAAUCUGAUAUGACUGAGUAGCGGACGGGUGAGUAACGCGUGAGCAACCUGCCCUUCGGAACGGGAUAGUGUCUGGAAACGGACAGUAAUACCGUAUAACGUAUUUUUACCGCAUGAUAGAAAUACCAAGACUGAGGUGCCGAAGGAUGGGCUCGCGUCUGAUUAGAUAGUUGGUGGGGUAACGGCCUACCAAGUCGACGAUCAGUAGCCGGACUGAGAGGUUGAACGGCCACAUUGGGACUGAGACACGGCCCAGACUCCUACGGGAGGCAGCAGUGGGGAAUAUUGCACAAUGGGGGAAACCCUGAUGCAGCAACGCCGCGUGAAGGAAGACGGUUUUCGGAUUGUAAACUUCUGUUCUUAGUGAAGAAUAAUGACGGU
This 450-nucleotide ribosomal RNA is filed under the name uncultured bacterium. RNAcentral's name for it is "bacterial SSU rRNA". It matches the Rfam family "Bacterial small subunit ribosomal RNA", at positions 28 to 476 of the family's 1533-position model. The record is from RNAcentral.